GGCUGUGGUGGCGGCGGCGGCGACGGCGCCCGGGCAGCAGCGGCAGCGGCAGCCCUGAGCAGGGUGAGACGGCCGCGGUGGCGGCAGCUCGGGGUCGGGCGGCGCCUGGAGCUUCCCGCCCGUCGCUGGCGCUAGGCCCCUCGGCUCUCCUCCGCCCGCUCCUCCUCACGGCCCUGGCUGGGUCCCGGCAGCGCGCCCCCGGGGAGGGCGGAGCCGUAGCACUUGACCUGCAGCAGUGUGGCCUCACCAGUGAAAGAGCAAAGGCUUUACUAAAGGCCCUUGAAAGCAACAGAACUCUGGUCGUUUUGGAUAUAAGAAAAAAAUCCACUUGUUGAUCAUUCUGUGAUGAAAGCAGUUAUCAAAAAAGUUCUCCAGAUGGAAGGAGUGCCAAGUCAGAGGCUCAAAGAUUUGGAAAGAGAUAGUUUAACAGAAAAGAUUUGUCCUUGGAGAACGGAGCUCAUGCUUUCAGUCGGGAAGUGAAUGGAUGUCUAGAAAACGGGAGCCAGACAAGCGGUGAGGAGC
Eubalaena glacialis (North Atlantic right whale) is the source of this 522-nucleotide long non-coding RNA. RefSeq lists it as uncharacterized. Lineage: Eukaryota; Metazoa; Chordata; Mammalia; Artiodactyla; Balaenidae. The transcript has 5 exons. The record is from RefSeq and is a predicted model, not a curated record.